AUCCCUGAAAUGCAAUGGAUAGCGUGUUGGACUUUUAACCCAAAGGUCGUGGGUUCCAAUCCCACCUGGGGUG
This is a non-coding RNA of Trichonephila inaurata madagascariensis, 73 nucleotides long. The record is from the annotation of a GenBank genome assembly. NCBI's taxonomy places the organism in Eukaryota, Metazoa, Arthropoda, Arachnida, Araneae, Nephilidae.